UACGGGAGGCAGCAGUGGGGAAUAUUGCACAAUGGGCGAAAGCCUGAUGCAGCUAUGCCGCGUGUAUGAAGAAGGCCUUAGGGUUGUAAAGUACUUUCAUCGGGGAGGAAAAAACAAAACUAAUAAUUUUAUUUCUUGACGUUACCCGAAAAAGAAGCACCGGCUAACUCCGUGCCAGCAGCCGCGGUAAUACGGAGGGUGCUAGCGUUAAUCAGAAUUACUGGGCGUAAAGAGCACGUAGGUGGUUUUUUUAAGUCAGAUGUGAAUCCCUGGGCUUAACCUAGGAACUGCAUUUUGAAACUGAAAUACUAGAGUAUCGUAGAGGGAGGUAGAAUUCUAGGUGUAGCGGUGAAAUGCGUAGAUAUCUGGAGGAAUACCUGUGGCGAAAGCGGCCUCCUAAACGAAUACUGACACUGAGGUGCGAAAGCGUGGGGAGCAAACGAGGAUUAGACUACC
RNAcentral lists this ribosomal RNA (456 nucleotides) under uncultured bacterium. Its description in RNAcentral is "bacterial SSU rRNA". It matches the Rfam family "Bacterial small subunit ribosomal RNA", at positions 340 to 787 of the family's 1533-position model. The record is from RNAcentral.